RNAcentral lists this long non-coding RNA (15415 nucleotides) under Ananas comosus (pineapple). Its description in RNAcentral is "long non-coding RNA (ACOM_LNC006184)". Lineage: Eukaryota; Viridiplantae; Streptophyta; Magnoliopsida; Poales; Bromeliaceae. The record is from RNAcentral.
UAGUUAAAAGGUAAAAUAGUAGUUUUCUACCCUUCUUCCUUGCCCUUCUCUUUUUUUCCCUCUGCUUCUUCCUCUCUUUCUCUCCUACUUUUUUCUUCUCUCCUUCUGUUCGUAUCCUCAUUUUCCUCCUUCUUCUUCUUCGUCGUCGUCAUUGAUGAUCCGAUUGUCGUCGCUGUCGUGGUGCCCCCGUGGGCCGUCAUCACGGGCGCCACCGACGGCAUCGACCACGCCUUCACCUUCCGCCUCUUCCUUGUCCUCGUUGGCCGCAACCCCGACAAGCUCCGCAAGGUCACCGUCGCCGCCGUCCGCUUCCACGGCAUGAAGAGGAAAAGGAAGAUGAAGAGGGUGAGGGCAAAAUAGUCAUUUCGCAACUUUAUUGUUAAAAAAUUAACAGUUUUUUAACAUAUUCAAAUCAGAGGAACAUAUUUAAAUACAUUAGGGUUUUUAUAAGGAUAACUUAUGAUAGUUAAAUUUUGCAGGAAUAUGUCUGCUAUUCAACAUGUUUGCAGGAAUCUGUAUGAAACUAACCCAAAAAAAAAAUGUCAAUGUAAACGUAAGCUGUUUCUUAGACUGAUAGAAAAAACCGGGAGCCCGAAAAGAUCGAAUCCAGGCGCCGGAAUUUUCGCACCCGAUUUUCAAUGAGUGUGCGCUCGAUUUCUGAGUGUGCUCCCGAUUCUGAGGAGCAAGUUUCUAUCAGAGAAGGUGCGGGUGCCUAAAUUUUGAAGCUUGGAAGUAGUCCUGUGGUAUAUUUUUAAUUUGAAGUUUCCUAUUCUCUCUCCAAACUUAAGUGAGUUAUUUUGAUAGCGAUUUUCUAUUCCCUUGCGUAGAAAUUAAGAGUUGGGUUUUUGUAGCGGAAAGAUUUAUCUUUUGAGAAGAAGAAGAAGAGAAGUGGUUGUAAAGACUCGGUAUUUGCACUAAAAAUAUCGGAAGUGUCGUUCCCACCACAUGCACAUGCAAGAAGAAGGCCUCUUAUAUAUGCACGUCAUUAGAUGCCGAGCAAAGCCCUGCAUGAUUUUAAAUCAGUUAUAACAUGUUGGUGGGCAAAGCUACCCUGUAAUAAUCAGAAUUAGCUACAACACCCAAAUAACUUCAUGAUAGUUUAUAGUUAGUCACACUUGUAAUUAAACAGUUGCAAACUUUUUCUAAGCACUAUCUAACUCGUUCGUACACCCGAACAAUGGUUCUGAAAAAUAGUGCAGCAACAGGUAUAAGUUAAUCACGUGGAUAAUCCAAUAGGUAUGUAUACUAGACUGAAAGUAAGUUAUAGAGAUCGAAUUAGACAAUUCGUAUAUCAAUUGCGGAAACAAAAUAAGGAUGCAUACAAUGAUGCAUGUAGUCAUAUAGAACAACAAGUGAACUUCAAACAGAGCAAGUAUAGAAAAAUACUGCAAGAAGUUGUAAACAAUAUUGGUGUUAUUAUAUGAGAAGGCAUAUGCUAUUUAUUAAUUUCAAAUUUGUUGUUAUUCUUUUAAUCUUAUUAGGCCCAACAAGCUGAUUUCCCGCUUUCAAUCCAAAUCUAACAAUAUUUGAAUUGUCCAAAUCGAAAUUGAAAUGAAAAAGUAUGCCCAAUUUACAAUUUAGUGCCUAUUAAUUCGUGCAAAUCAGUCGAAAUUUAGAAUUUAUGCAUAUCAAAUGAAUGCCAUGGUGGCAAAAAGAAUUUCAUAAUGAAUCCAAUGAUAAUAAAAUCAUGUAAAAUGGAGACUGUCAAAACGAAAACACUAAAAACUCACUGACCGAAACCGGACAAUGGGAAAAUUCGGGCCCAAACUAGAACCAGGCAUGGGCCAAAUGUGUCUCUCUCACGGAUUCAAAUCAUAUGCGAACUUGAUUCUAAACUUAAACUUUUAUCAAAUAUAGGCUAAGCCAAUUUAAUAUAGUCCAUUUCCUUAAGGUGAAAUAAAUAUGCUCUAAAAGCCUAAGUUUUUACUGUGGCACCGUUCGACGACCGACCGUGGGAAUUAGAGUUGCUACUCGGACUAGAUCAUCCAAUUCAACCCGAAUCUGACCCCCAGACUCGAAGUAUUUUUGUGAGGUGUAUAGGUUAAAAUUAGGGGAAAAUCCUAAUUAAUAUUCAGUUCCGAGUAUAAACACGUUGAUCCAGUCCUUAUUUUUUGUGUACUAUAUUACAUGCUUUUGUGUACUUUUACCGUGGGUGAUAAUAUUGUUAACAGAGCUAUAUUUUAUACGCAUAGACAAUAGUAAUAUAAACUUAAUAUAGUGUUAUCACACCCCUUUUGAAAACAGCAAUCAUUUGUAUAUUGUUUUUAAUUUGAAUUUUUUUUCAGUUAACAUGAACAAUGAGUAAGAUUACCGUUACGUUCAGAAUUUGCUGUAUUUUCAAAGCACAUAGAUUACUUAAUAAAUUUACUCUUAUAGAGUGGACAUGGGACCCCUUUGGAUUGAUCUUAUGCUAAGGAAUGAAUGAUGGUCCAAAACCAUAAAAUAAGCAAAGGCCUGAUUCAAUUUUCAGGAUUAGUGAAUUACGGAUCAAUUUUCAGUUUCGAGCCAUUAAUCGGAUACAUGACAUUAUCUACAGCCAUAUUUGGAUUAAUAACAUUAUCUACAAUCAAAGAAACUAAGGAUAAUCGAUCGAAUAACUGCGUUACGUCGCGGCCCAAAUGUUUAAUACCACACAAAGAAGGUCCCUAAAAAGGCCCAUUAGAUAUCAACCACCACGCAGUUAGUAAUAAGAUGUUAAAGAACAUCUUCUGCAAUCAAAACUGCAUCCAGGAUUACUGUUGUUCAUCUGCCACUUUGUAAAAUUGCUCGCUUCGACUUUCCUCGACGGUACUCCAAUAACGCCGACCAACAUCCCGGUGUCGCAGCUGGUUCCCUGUCCCUGUAAAUUAAACAAACUUGACUUAAAGCCAUUUGCAUAUCAGGAGCUCGAGCGCGAAACGAUUAAUUGAUGUAUGUAACAAUCAGUCGAAUGAAAAGAUUAUCCUUGGUUUGAAUUUCCUGUAAAAUCGGUGUUCGACUUAAUGACAAAAUUGAUUGGAAAGGAUGAAUUUCAUAGAAUUUCUUCUUUUUUUUUUUUUAAAAAAAAAAGAGAAUUAUGUAGGAUCAGGAUUGGUGAUUUGCUCAUCUAGCACAUUCACAACGUCAAAUCGGAGAAUAGGCUGAUUAGCUUAAAUUUGUGUUGAAAUACGUAUCCCUACGUAGUACUUUUAAAAUCACCAAACAAAUAUUAAGGUCACAUCAUAACCGAUCAACAAAUAAUGAUCGUCAACACCUAAUUGUCAGUGUCCAAAAAAACCGAUUGAUAGAAAUAAUUUAAAAAUAGCCUUAAACAAUAAACUGAAGAGAUAUAUAAUCAUCUUUGCUAGUACGUGACUUAAAAAAAUCAAUCUGAUAGAAAAUAACACAGUAUAAUCUUAACACUAGUUAUAUACCUUUUGUUAUACUCGGUGUUAGCUCGCUGAUCCACCCCCCCACGGCUCGUCCGUGCGGCAGUGAGGCUCCGUGUCAACGACGUUGGCACGUAGAAAUUUAGGAGCACUCCUUCGCUACUACCACCGCAACUACUCCUGCGAUCUCUCCUCUUCCUCUCAUUCAUUUUAGGCCUCUUCUCCUUCGUUUCGUCGUCAUGUAUUAUUUUUUUUUUCGUUACCGCUCCCGUCUCCGACGUUAAUCCUUCUUUCUCGACUAAGUCGGUGAGGGAGAGCUCGUAAUCGGACUCCGGAACGUCGUUUAGUAGCCUCAGAAGCUCUUCGCGGCUUUUGGCGAUCUCCGAAGCCCUCACUGAUAGAGAAGCCGAGGAAAUGCCUUCCAUUUUGCUCUCAAGAAGCCAAAGACUCCUCCCAGAGAGUGCAAUUGUGAUGAUUUCGAGGGAAAAUAAAAAAAAAAAACAAACAAGAUAGGAAAAUAUAAUAGUGAGAGAUUGCUAUAUGUAGCGAAGAGGCCUUUGUUGUGAAUGGUCCAUUUGGUGGAAACAAAUUGAUGGCGUACGCACAAAACGGGCUUAAGAAAUUGACUAAGUUGUGAAUGGGACCUGAUCUAGAAUAACUCUUUUGAAAGUUUCAAUAUUUAUGUAUAUUGGUGGGGCCUCGAUGGUUCGCUAAGGCUAUUACACUAUCAUCAUCACUGUGAUGAACUAAUAAUAUACUAUUAGGAAUAUGAUUAACUAUUAUAAAAGCAUGUGUUUAUAGAAAGAACACAUUCAUUGCAUUUAAAAGCUCAACCACAUUAUUCAUGGAUUUCGAUCUGACUCAAUUCACAUGGAUAUUAAAUUUUUAUUGUUAACCUCUUUUCGUUGGGUAUACUAUGGAUCACAGCUCUACGCAAUUUAUUAGGAUAAUUUAUUUCAAAUUAUUAGUUUUCUAAAUUUAUUACCACAGAAUAGAAAGUUGAAUCUAUUUUAGCUAAUAAUAAAUAACUAACAUUAUAUAUGGAUUAUGGAUUGCGUCUCUGAAUAACAAAUUUUUGUAACGUUUGGAACUACAUAGGAAUCUAUUAAUAAUUUUCAUGUUAUGCGUAUUAGUAUAACAAAAAAUUAUAAAAAACGCGCUCUAAAUCAUUCACAACGUGUGCGUGAUAUCAUGUAUCUAAAAAUAAAAAUAUUGAACAGUUUGGGUUGUUGAUGCGAUCAGUACGUUGAUGUUGACUCGAUCGUUCGUCUGGUUGCUUUUGUAACUUGUGUUCAACUCAAUUUAGUGUAGGUUGUUUACCAAUUAUUUUUGUUCGAAGAAGCCUAGAACUUCACGAAGAUUAAUUGCUUUAGUGAGUUGGAUUUGAUUGAACACUUAUUUGUAAUCUUGUGUUAAAAAACCAUUGGUCUCCAAUGAUUCACUACUUUUUUACACUAUGAUUGUAGUUUUAAUUGUGCUGUUACGCACCAUCCCUCAAAAUAUGCAAACAAGAAAGGAAAAACCCACCGACCGUUCCUAGAGCAAGCGACAAAAGGCUUGGUGGUUGGUAUCCGAGACCCAAAUUCAAAUUUUAGUUAAUUCAUAUUUCUAGCUAAGUUUAUUUCUAAAUGAAAUAAACGAAGCGAAUAGUGAAAAAAAAAAAAAAGAAAAACCCUAAACAAAACUGAAUACUAUUUCAUUGCACAUUACUUUUUCUUUGUUCUUGUGGGAUGAACUACGUUAGUGCUUUUCCUCCAAUAAAGUUACGGAUCUAACUCUAUUAAGGUUCUAACACCUAUAUCACCAGCAAAAAUAAGAUAUAAAAUAUCCUUGCAUACUUUAAUUCAAACUCCUUUUGAUCCAGUAAUGUCAAAUAGCUUUUAAUAACAAACGAAUCCUUAAAUCUGUUUUUAAAAAAAUGGCAUGAGCAUCAAUUUGGAACCAAAACUCACUAUUUUAUUCUUAAAAUUCUCACGAGUAACACAAAAAAAAAAAAAGUAAAAAAGGAGAAUUUUGUAGAGCCCACUCAAGCCUAAUUUCCGGGAUUACGUUGUUUCCCAACUUACCCACCCAUAGAUUAAAGUUUUGUCCUCUGCAUCUAAGGACAGUUUGUUUUGAUUAGGUGUAAUUAUAAAUAUAGUGUAGUUGAAAAUAUAUAUAGUUAAAAAUAUAGUAAUUGUAACUAUAUGCAUCCCAUUUGAUUGGAUGCAGUGAAAAGCGCUGUGACUAUUAAUAGUUUGUUUGAUUGCAUAUAGUUGAGAAAUAAUUUUUAAAAGUUUAUUAUUUUAUAUAUAUUAUGGUGAGAUUAUCUCAAAUAUAAAUAUAUAUAUGUUUUAUUUAAAAAAUAAUUAAAGAGGUAAAUAUACUUUUUGUUUAAAAUUACUCUCUCUAACUGCUGCAGUUCGAACUGCGAUCAAUUUAGGCGUAGUUUUCACUACUACAGUUGAGCUUCCUCUUAUAUAAUUCCUACUGCAACAGAUGGAGCUAAAUGCAACAAACCAAAUGCAAGCAUUUGUAUUUACAUACAGUUAUAAUUAUAGUACAGUUAUAACUACGUACAACCAAACAGCCGCUGAUAUGCCGAAAUUUGUUUUUUGGUGACAGGGCUACGACGGCAUCUUUAUUAAGUUUGCUAAUAAAAAUUUAAAAUAAAUCAAUAAAAAGAAAAAUUAUCAAAAGUAUUUUUUAAAAAUAAAAUUUCUCACUUUUGUCGUUUAGUCUUUUGACUGGAGAAAGAAACGGAAGUUGCCGGCGGGCUCCACGCCGGCGAGCGAAGCGCAUGAUCAAACCGUACAUCUAGUGGGGCCCUCAUAGGUUGGGAGUGCUUCUACGGCCUAGAUGCGUAGUAGUAUGUAGGGGUGGUGGUCAAGCGACGCACCCGAUGAACACUUUGCAAGACAAGUAAUCGGAACUCAAGUACGAGCCUCCAAAACUUUGAGAUUAGCACAAACUAAAUAGAGGUUAAGAAAGUACGAAAUUUACUUAACUAUAAAUUAUUUACAUUUGACUAUCAACUUUUUUAAUUUUAAUUUAACUAUCUAAUAUUUCCUAAUUUGUUUGAUUUAAAUUAGUUGACAAUACUUUGACUUCAAAAUUCGAAUACGAUUUUAUUAUGUUUUAUAGGUUUAGUUAGUAUACUUAAUGUUAUUAUCACAACUAUAAAUUUAUUAAAGUAAUCAAUCUAAUUUUUGAAGUCAAAAUAUUGUUGACUGAUUCAAAUCGGAUGAAUUACAGGUUGGAUAAUAAAAUUAAAAUUUUGAAAAGUUGGACAAUCAAAUCCAAAUAAUUCCUAGUUCGGAUAAGUUUCAUACAUUUUCACAUAAAUAAAAGAGUUUUCAUUUUCAACAGCAAUAAUUUAUUAGUAGAUACUUAUGCCUCAUUGGGCAUUAUUAUUUUUUUUUACACUAAUUAUAUACAAUUUGAAAUAUUGUCUAAAAAUUUAACUUCUUGUUGCCGCCGUGAUUGGUUAGCAUGUAAUACACUUGGCCAAGUAAUACUGACAACUUUAAAUAAAUUUCAAAAGAAAAAAAGCUUUAUUUUAAAAAUUUUAUGUUUUGUUACCAAAUAAACAGCACGAAAGAAAAAGUUGUUAGUAAUGUACUACUACUACCCACUACUAUACCGUUUUUAUGUUAAAAAAUCUAUUUAAAUAGAUAAAACACGAUGCCAAAUGAAGCCUUAAUUGCUUUGGUUUUGCUCUCUUUUUAUUUCUAUUCGUACCUGCAAUUAACUACCCCAGAGCAUUUGGCAAAUACCAAGAAAUAGAGUCUUUGCUGCAGCGCAAAAUUUAAGUCCCAAAAGAAGUGGCCUGGUUUUAGAAUUUAUGAUUUUGCAGAGAAGUUUGAGAAAUUUCAAUAUGGAACCUCUCCGUACAAUACCACUGGAAUAUAAACUACAACCUACAAAAUCGCAUCUGAUCGGUAUUCUAAAAAAUAACGAUCAAGAGCAGGUAAAAUAUUCUGAUGUGACCCAAUUUUUUAGUUCUCAAAUGCAGCUAGAGAUUCUUUUUUGUCUUUGUUGAAGUUGGAUUUCACUUUGGAUUUGCUCUAAUAGAGACUAAAAAUAAUUUUUUAUAGGGGCGUUUUCUCACCAUUUCUGCUGAAACGGGCAAAAAAAAGGAAGAAAAAAACAAUUCUCUCAUGAAGACGAUGGAUCAUAUUUUUAUUACACCUAUACAUGGGAUGUAUAAAUCGCGUUGCUCUUUUACAAAGAAAAAUACUACGGGUACACCCUUCCGGGAGGUGUACAUUUUCCAUCUUUAAUCCAUAAAUUCAAACCACCCCUUUGGAGUUUAAAGAAAAAUUUUUUUAAAAAAAAAACAUGAUAAGAUAAGUGAUUUAUUCUGAUCUACAAAAAAUUUAUGAGUAUUAAGUUUUACGAUGUAUGCGUCGCAUUACUCUUCUACAAAACAACAAUACAUUUUUGACAAAAGCAGAUGCUUUCAUUCAUGCAUUAUGUUAGGAAAACAUAUAAUCUAUCCUCAAUGUUUCCACAUAAUACCAAAAAUUUGUCAUGAAUAAAGGCGAAUCAAAAAUAUCUGCUUGUUAAAAACCAUAAGAAAGCAUAUUGGUGUUUGAGCUUAUAUGUCUAUAUACAAAAGCAAUCAAUGGAUAGAUGACAUUAUAAAUAUGGAUCAAACUCUUAAAGAGUCAGAUUAAAAGACCUGUUGAUCCAAGAAACACAAUCGUGGGAUGCUCCAAGUAUGUCUUAUAAUUUAUGUCUUAUAAUUUACUGUCCUAUUAACUUAAUUAACAAAACAGUGAGAAGUAACACAUAAUUAAACUUUGAUGAGGUUAGGUAGAAGAGUAACCUUAUCAGCCGCGAUAAGCGAUCAAACAUUGCUCUCACCAUUCUUCUGAAGUUUCUCAUAUAGUUUUCUCGAAACCUGCAAAGUCGAAGUAAGAUAGGACACACAAAAACCGAGCUUGCGUAUAUAGGAAACAAAAGCUAACUGUCAGGAGAGGAUAGUAGUGAUUUGAAGGUUCUCCAUCCUAAUUUUGCUAAUCAAGUCUGAUAAAAUAGUCUGUCGGAAUAGGACAGGUAGUUUCUCUUGAUAAACCUGUUAAAGAGUCAAAAUUUUCUAUCGGCAUCCCAACAAAACAAAUGGGUGACUAUUUUUUUACCACCGUUUCUCGUAAACCUGUUAAAGAAUCAAAAUUUUCUAUUGGCUUCCCAACAAAACAUAUGGAUGACUGUUUUUUUACCACUGUUGCAGACUCUGUCAUUUUAGGGGUCAGAAGGUGAUAAAAAUCUCUCGCUUUAGUUUACUAACGAACUACAACAAUUCCAAGGGUUUUAUAUAGUAGAAAUGGUAAAAGCUUUCUCCACCCAAUAGCAUAUACUAUGAUAUUCUAUUAAGUUGUAUGGCCUACAAUGAACAGGUCGUUAUACUAUUGGCAUUACCUUUAUUCAAUUAAUAGAUUCCUUAAAUUAUACCAGAUUUAUCAUAUAACAAUUUUUACCUUAAUUUUAGAAUCAGAAUUGUCUAAGAAUAAUACAGUAUUUAACUCACUCGAUGUGAAGUUGGAGAACUAGAGCCAAUAACAAUAUGAUUAGUUGGUGAACUCGGAAAUGACUUUCCAGGAGAGCUUAAUAUGGUUGGUGUUGGGACAGGAGCUUGAGCAUAAGGCGAAACAGGAGAGCGUAAUAUAGAACUUUGAUGAUAAGGUGAAAGCGGAGAUUCCGUUGGAUUUCUUCGUGGGAACUGAGAAACAGAUGUGGGCUCUGGAGAUCUCGAUGAUGAUCUUUUCCUUGGAGGCUGCAUAUUUAUCUUAAUCCUGCAAAAGGAAUAUGCUAGUAAUCAUAACACACCAAUAAGAAAGCAGCAGAAUAAGGAAUUGGGCAAAAUGUAUGGAUUGUGCCUGCAACUUCUUCGCAACAUAUUUUUGCUCGAAUUCUUUAGUUCCCGAACUUUUUCAUACAUCCAAUAUCAUCCCUAUAAAGUGACCAUUACACUUCUAACCUUUCUGUUUCAGUAUAGUUAAAUCAGUUGAAAAGGCCAUUUUACAGGACAAGGUCGCACAUUGUCAGACGUUGUUGGCGACUACGGAUAGGAUUGCAAUAAAUGAGAAAAUUCAGGGGCUAAAGUGUUUGAAUGAUAUGUCAGAGAAACAAAUUGGGAUAGAACAGAGACAAAUCCAUAUAUUUUAGUGUAAGUAAUUUAGAUGGUAGCUACUUACUUGUUGUGUACAUCUACAUACUCAUCAGUCUCAUCCAAUAUGUCUUCCUUCAUAAAGCAAUCAAGCAGAGUUGUUAGUUACUUAGCUUCUUGCAUGAACGAAUGUAAGAUAGCAAGGACUACUUAACAAUAAUCAUGAAAAAAAAAAAUUUAAUAAUUAAAAGUGCAGAAUCAGAUAAGCAGUGGGAAUGCAAUUAUGAGGAAAAUAUUAACAGACUAGGUGUCAUCAAUUGCAUGAGCAGACUAAUGGGCACAAAGAAUGAUCCAGAACUUUAUGAUCCUUGUGUGAGAAUAUUUUCUCUCACUGGACAUUGAAUGAACCGAACUUCAUACGUUACCAAAUGCCAAAAUAUUGUAUAAUUCCAGGAAAAUCCCUAACAACUCUAAGCUGCAUAGAUAAAACAUAUUGCAACAGACCUUUCUAGAUGUAAAUAUGACAUAUAUAAUAACAAUAUAAUAAAAAGUAUGGGGAACCAAAUUAUACUAUAUUUCUAUAGCUUCAUGUAAAUCACAGUAGAAAAGAUAUUAUAAAUUCUGACCUGUAGCAAUUCCUCUAUAACAUUCUCCAUUGUAAUAAUCCCAAUCACUUCCUCAUCUAAUGAGUAGCUAGGAAAGGAAUCUGAAUUAACAUCAAGUAUAUUGUCAUGUCGUCCUCGCUCUGACUUCUUUGGCUGUGUUCUUACAUAUUGCUUCUCCAUGUUGCUUCUUUUUAGAGGACUGUGAAUUCCAGAAACACUAGAAUACAAAGGUGAUGCAUUUAAAGUGACACCCAAAUGAUCAGCCAAUGCUACAUGAGAUCCAUCUCCUGCACAAGCAGGAAUUGCUACAUGAAAAAUAUACAUAAUUGUAUGUAGUUCUUUGCAUAAAGGAAUCAAACAUGCAAUUGGUACUUCUAAAAUCAUAAUCGACAUAAACUAUCUUUUGAGAGGAUAAUAUACUUAAACUAUGAAGUAAAGCAUUCUCACAAUUCUUACCAGGAGUACCAUCAGCAGGAACAUUUUUCUUAUACUGGUUCAUUCUGUUCUCUAUUAUAUUGCUUUUGCUUUUAUCACUGGAUGCACCAAUAUCCUUGGUGCGUUUAAUGACCACGGCCAUAUGACUGUGACCUUUCUGAAACUCAUUCAGAAUGUCAUAAAGAGGAAGAUCCUCAUACACCCUGAUACAGAGAUGAUAUAAUGCACAACUUGGUUAGCUAAAAAAUUUCCUAUUAAAACAAUAUAUGAUUCUCAAUUCAAUAUUGCAUGGGGUUAAUUGAGAAAUACUGCUGAUUCUUAGUUACAAUAAAGACAGUUCGAUCCAAUUAGUGUAAUUGAGAAACAGGACCUUAAAUAUUUUUACUUAUCUAAUAUGUCAGAAAAUCAAAGAAAUAUCUUAAUGUACAAAACAUAAAGAAUAUACCUAGGAAUUUUUCUGAUGGUGACAUUUCUAAUGGGAACUUCAUCUUCAGGUCGACAAGUAAUCAAAUUCUUGACCUGAAAGAAAGGCAAAUCAUUAAAUUGGCAAAGUUUCAAGCAUACAAAGAGAGAAUAAGGAGUUACUACUCUCUUAACCUGAAGAAAGACAACUCAUUAAAUUGACAAAGUUUCGAGCAUAUAAGUAGAAAAAUAAGGAGUUAAUACUCCACAAGCGAAUCAUGAGAGAAUUUACAUACAGCAAAGAAAUUAACUACUGAAUUUUUGCUUUGUAUGCAUGGAUAAAUUCACUUAUGAUAUGUUAAUUGAGAGUAAUGCUACACUCAGAACUGUUUUACAUGCAUGCCGGACAAGGGACCAAUAAAUUCCAUAGGUAAGAGAUUAAUAGGUCACUGUGGAGUCCACAUCACAAUUUCAACCAAAUCACAGCCCAGCAGGUUUGACAUUCAUGUCAAAUGUUGGUACAUCAUUCCUCUUUGGUUAAUUUAGACCGUCAAUCAAUCUGUUGUAAAUGGAAACCUCGUGAUCUUGAUAGAAGGAAGUACCAAUAGGAUAUAAAAGAGUAAAUUACGUAUAAAAAAAAAUCAUAAAAAGAACUGCAAGUAGAUAAACAAAAAGUUCAUAAAAUCUUGGUGGGCAAACUUCAAAUGACCAGUCCUACAAAGACUGUCAUUUACAGUUAUUUGUAAAAGAUGCAUCAUAUAAAUUUCACAAAAAAAUAGCAAGGUGCUCACCAAAAUAAGGCCAAUAAUAUUUCUUGGGCUACCCGAAUAAAUUGGCACACGACUGUGCCCUUUUGUCAUUAUCAAACCCAUAGUGUGCCUAGCAAGAUAUAAAUGUCAGCAGCAUAUAGAGAAAAAUCCCAUAGUAUGGAAGCUACUAGAAAUCAGUGAAAGGCAUGUACAUGUCUAGCUUGGAGUUUAUAUCAAGUGCAAAGGUAUCGGCAAUUUCCGUCAUAGAAUCUUUAGCGGUCUUUUGGGUCAAAUCCAAAGCUCCUGUAAUGAUAGUAGUUUCAUCAUGAGUCAACUCUCCACCCUUCCCUGCCUAGCAAGCAAUUUAAAGAAGGUUUACUGUUUGCCCUGCUUCAAAACUACCAGCAUAAAUUUCUAUAUUUCUUUCUCAUAAGUACUGCAAAUAUGAAAAACCUCUCUUUGCUUCUUUCCUGAUUUAACGUUCAUGCAUACAUGUAAGUCGUCCAGGCAUGCAAAUCAGAAAAUUGACAAUACAAAUAGAGUCACCAAAAGAUGAACUUCUACUAAUGUUAAACCUUAACACAAACAACAACGCUUCUCUCAAACAGCACAUUGGCCAGUAGUUCAACCCAUGAGAUCAUUAUAAGAUUAGGCACUGUAGAAAGAAACCAAUUAGAAUAUUUAGCACCAUUUUUUUUUCCCCUCAACAUUCUGUUAAUAUGAAACUAAUGCAAAUGACCUUCUUUCUAAAUAUUCUGUUGCAUUCAUGAAUCAUGAUAUUUUAUUUUCAAACAUGCAAAGUGAGAUUUUGUGUUGUUGUUAAGAGCUAACAUCAGCAUAACAGGAAUGCACAGAGUAGCGAACUUCUUUUUUUACCAACAAAAUGCUUAGCAGAAAUAGUGAAUGCAUAGACGAGAUAUAUAUGAUACCCCCAGAUAUCGUAAAAUGUAGUGUAAAACACUUAUCAUAUUAUCAUAAAUAAUCAAAUAAAUGUACAAUGUAAACCCAACCUCAUUUCCAUGCAUAUCAACCAAUGUCUUCAACUCGGCCCUUCUCAUAAGUGCAAAAUGCCCCUUUCCUAAAAGCCAGUCCAGCAGCUGUCCACAGUAUGAACAUCAAACGAUUGAGAUGUUGAGUCUAUGUCAAUAUAAAGAAAAGGAAGAGAACUUGAAUAAAUUGUCUAAUAAACUAACUAGAUAUUGAGAUAUAGAUUUGCCAAUUCUGGUGCAUCUAAUAAAGAAAGAGAUUUUUUUUUAUUUACUUUUAGAUCUAUUAAUCAAGUUUUAACUGAAUAAAUCUUUAGAUAUAUAACUGUGGCAGCAUGCAAGCUCAUUCUAAUUAAGUCCUGCAUCCAAAUUUUUUUUAGGCUAUUUGAAAAGGUGGUAAAAUGCAGGGUUGAAAUUGAUGCAAUCUACAAUUCAGGAGAUAAUUGAGAUAACAGUAAAAGCCCAAGGUGCUAUGUUGUUAUUUAGCCCCAAAAAACAUUAACCCCCAAAUUGAGAAGGGUGAAAUCUAGUGAAAACCCACUAGACAAGGAACCGGUCUCACGAGUAGUAAAGUAAUAUGCAUCACCUACUUCCACUUCGGGAGCACAUUGCUGUGAAGAAACACGGCUAUAUGAAAUGUGCAGUUCACAAAAAGACUUGUGGUCCGCACAUGCAAAACAACAGGUCAUGUCCAGCUAACAUUAAAAUUUUUCUUUCAGAGCAAGUAUUUCCAGGAUUUGAGCUCUCAUCACUUAAUUUUCUAAGGUACAAAAUGUAACUUUUGCGUAAGGUCAAUAUACAAGGAGCAUGUUACAUGUGCUUAAGAUUUUUCAGCAGUACUUGUAAGGCUGACUUCAUGUUCUUUUGUCAAUGAGUCAGAAUUAGCCCAUGUGAUGGCCCGAUUAGCUCAUUUCACAAUUUUCUUUUCUCUUAUUUUUCCUUUCAAGAAUUCUCUCUAUAAACUAAUCUGUGAACAUCGCGACCCCUGCACGAAAACACACCUCAACGGCAUGAUCGGCCAGCAGAAUAGGCUGCUGGCAAAAUUGUUAUCGGCAUAUAUAUAUAUUAACUCGUAAACCUUAUAUUCGAGCUAAUGAAAGCCUUUUUAUUUAUCACGGAGGCGCCAUAUAUCGCACAGCAAAUUAGCUACACAGUGCAAUUCAAUUUUUAAAAUUAUUCACCAAAUAGAUCAUUACUAGGUUCUCUAACGUCUCGAAAUUAGUUAUUUAUCUUGCCGAUAUUCGCGAAUUCAAAGGGAAGGCACAUAAAGAAACCAUGGGGCAUCCAUUAAACAUAUCCGAUUAAGUCUCUUUUGCCGGUUCGAAAGAAAAUCACAAUACCUACGUUAACAGCAGACAAGAAAUCACCUUACUAAUGGGAUAGGCGACAGGAAAGAAGACGAGAAGAAGAAUCCGGACAACCCCAGCCAGCCGGGCUCCGACGCUCAGCCCGUACCGCGAGCAUACAGCUUGAGGAAUUAUCUACAACAACACAAUCAAACAAGAAAAGAGAUUCAUAUCGCCCUUCCGGCACCAUCUCAUCUCAAAAGGCGACGGAACGCGAUGUUCAAGCGGAAUCACCUCACCGAACGCAAGGAUAAGCGUCACGGAGAUCAGGAUCGCCCCCCACGCCGGCAGCAGAGCGUCGAGGAAUAUCGGCAGCGCCUGCGCAGCAAGAAGAAAGGAAAAAUCAAUCCACGACAGGAUCGAUCGUUAAUUAAAUCGUCACGAUCAGGAAGCUAGAGACCUCACCUCCAUGGCGAGGGAGUUGCCGAUGAGGAGGGUGCAGAGGAGCAGGUGCUGGUUCUUGACCACGGGGAGAAUCUUGGCUAGUAUUAAGCAGCAGAGAGAGAGAGAGAGAGAGAGAGAGGGGGUAAGAGAAAGAGAAAGAGAAAGAGAAAAAGAAAGAAAGGUGGAAGGUAGGAGGAGGAGGGGAGGAGAGGAGAGGAGAGGGGGUGGAGGAGGGAACCGGCAUUGAUUUGGUCGGUAGGGGUUCCGGCCUUGCGGAGGACCUCGAGGUCGACGAGGCUGAGGGACAUGAGGCCGAGGGUGAGGCCCGACAUGAGCCCCGCGAACAUCACCAGCCCCAGGCACACCAUCAGGUACACCCAGAACAUGCCCCCGCAGCAUGACUCCUGCGCCGACAUCAAAACUUCUCCCACACACCAAAAGAGAAACAGAGAGCAGAAGAGGAGAAGGGGGAGGAGGAGUAUGGCGGACUGCUCUUGGAGGAGGUGCUUUGAGGCCGUGGCAAUAAAGUGGGGUGCCGACUGCCGAAUGCCCCUUUUUUAGUUUUCCUUUCCCCUUUUUUCCCCCACUUUUUAACGGUUGGGUGCGUUGAUUGUGUCCGUCCUUGUUUGCGCUGUGAAUGCUUCGACUCUCGGAGAACGCAGCACAGCAGCAGGUAUAGGUAUGAAACGCGCCGCCGUGGCGAUUUUUCCUCGUGCUUCUGACUGCAUGCUCUCUGUUUUCUGGAUCAGUCUUUCGGAUUUUUACGCAAACCUUUAACGUAUGGACCUGUUUCAGUCAAAAGAAAUGUCAAAUCUACAGUAAAAAUAUAUAUAUAUAUUAUAUAAUUUUUAUAAUUUUUAACUUGAUGAUUUUAGAAGUUUAAUAAAUCUAUUUAGUUUUUAAUUUAAAAAAAGAGUGAUAAAACAAGUGUAAUAAAUAUAGUCUUUAGAUAGGUAAAUUAUAGAUUACAACUCAAGUGAAAGCAGAUCGAGCAUUGCUGAAUUAUACUCAUUGCAGAUUUGCAGCGGAGUAAAUUCUGAGUCUGAGGCUCCACUUGUUAUUAUAUUUAU